This 781-nucleotide ribosomal RNA is filed under the name uncultured bacterium. Its description in RNAcentral is "bacterial SSU rRNA". It matches the Rfam family "Bacterial small subunit ribosomal RNA", at positions 95 to 878 of the family's 1533-position model. The record is from RNAcentral.
GUGGCGCACGGGUGCGUAACACGUAUGUAAUUUGCCCAUAACUGGGAGAUAGCCCCGAGAAAUCGGGAUUAAUAUCCCAUAACAUUAUGAAGAGGCAUCUUUUUAUAAUUAAAGCUCCGGCGGUUAUGGAUAAACAUGCGACCCAUUAGUUUGUUGGUGAGGUAAUGGCUCACCAAGACUACGAUGGGUAGGGGUUCUGAGAGGAUGAUCCCCCACACUGGUACUGAGACACGGACCAGACUCCUACGGGAGGCAGCAGUAGGGAAUAUUGGGCAAUGGACGAAAGUCUGACCCAGCCAUGCCGCGUGCAGGAUGAAUGCCCUCUGGGUUGUAAACUGCUUUUAUAAGGGAAGAAACCCCUCUACGUGUAAGGGCUGACGGUACCUUAUGAAUAAGGAUCGGCUAACUCCGUGCCAGCAGCCGCGGUAAUACGGAGGAUCCAGGCGUUGUCCGGAUUUAUUGGGUUUAAAGGGUGCGUAGGCGGAUUAUUAAGUCAGUGGUGAAAGCCUGUAGCUCAACUACAGAACUGCCAUUGAAACUGAUAAUCUUGAGUAUAGUUGGGGUAAAUGGAAUGUUGCAUGUAGCGGUGAAAUGCUUAGAUAUGCAACAGAACACCAAUCGCGAAGGCAAUUUACUAAACUAUAACUGACGCUGAGGCACGAAAGCGUGGGUAGCAAACAGGAUUAGAUACCCUGGUAGUCCACGCCCUAAACGUUGCAUACUAGUUGUUGGCGAUAUACUGUCAGUGACCAAGCGAAAGCGUUAAGUAUGCCACCUGGGG